Molecule: ribosomal RNA, 595 nt
Filed under: Trichoderma virens
Lineage: Eukaryota; Fungi; Ascomycota; Sordariomycetes; Hypocreales; Hypocreaceae
Description: eukaryotic LSU rRNA
Rfam family: 5.8S ribosomal RNA (bases 229-382)
Source: RNAcentral
UCGUUGGUGAACAGCGGAGGGAUCAUUACCGAGUUUACAACUCCCAAACCCAAUGUGAACGUUACCAAACUGUUGCCUCGGCGGGAUCUCUGCCCCGGGUGCGUCGCAGCCCCGGACCAAGGCGCCCGCCGGAGGACCAACCAAAACUCUUAUUGUAUACCCCCUCGCGGGUUUUUUACUAUCUGAGCCAUCUCGGCGCCCCUCGUGGGCGUUUCGAAAAUGAAUCAAAACUUUCAACAACGGAUCUCUUGGUUCUGGCAUCGAUGAAGAACGCAGCGAAAUGCGAUAAGUAAUGUGAAUUGCAGAAUUCAGUGAAUCAUCGAAUCUUUGAACGCACAUUGCGCCCGCCAGUAUUCUGGCGGGCAUGCCUGUCCGAGCGUCAUUUCAACCCUCGAACCCCUCCGGGGGGUCGGCGUUGGGGAUCGGCCCUUUACGGGGCCGGCCCCGAAAUACAGUGGCGGUCUCGCCGCAGCCUCUCCUGCGCAGUAGUUUGCACACUCGCAUCGGGAGCGCGGCGCGUCACAGCCGUUAAACACCCCAAACUUNGUGAAAUGUUGACCUCGGAUCAGGUAGGAAUACCGCUGAACUUAAGCAU